GGACGAACGCUGUCGGCGUGCCUAAUACAUGCAAGUCGAACGCUGCUUAAGAAGAAGCUUCGGUUUUUUCUUAAGCGGAGUGGCGGACGGGUGAGUAACACGUGGGGAACCUAUCUAUCAGCGGGGGAUAACACUUGGAAACAGGUGCUAAUACCGCAUAUGGCUUUUUUUCACCUGAAAGAAAGCUCAAAGGCGCUUUACAGCGUCACUGAUGGCUGGUCCCGCGGUGCAUUAGCCAGUUGGUGAGGUAACGGCUCACCAAAGCAACGAUGCAUAGCCGACCUGAGAGGGUGAUCGGCCACACUGGGACUGAGACACGGCCCAGACUCCUACGGGAGGCAGCAGUAGGGAAUCUUCGGCAAUGGACGCAAGUCUGACCGAGCAACGCCGCGUGAGUGAAGAAGGUUUUCGGAUCGUAAAGCUCUGUUGUCAGCAAAGAACAGGAGAAAGAGGAAAUGCUUUUUCUAUGACGGUAGCUGACCAGAAAGCCACGGCUAACUACGUGCCAGCAGCCGCGGUAAUACGUAGGUGGCAAGCGUUGUCCGGAUUUAUUGGGCGUAAAGCGAGCGCAGGCGGUGAUUUAAGUCUGAUGUGAAAGCCCCCAGCUCAACUGGGGAGGGUCAUUGGAAACUGGAUCACUUGAGUGCAGAAGAGGAGAGUGGAAUUCCAUGUGUAGCGGUGAAAUGCGUAGAUAUAUGGAGGAACACCAGUGGCGAAGGCGGCUCUCUGGUCUGUAACUGACGCUGAGACUCGAAAGCGUGGGUAGCAAACAGGAUUAGAUACCCUGGUAGUCCACGCCGUAAACGAUGAGUGCUAAGUGUUGGAGGGUUUCCACCCUUCAGUGCUGCAGUUAACGCAUUAAGCACUCCGCCUGGGGAGUACGACCGCAAGGUUGAAACUCAAAGGAAUUGACGGGGGCCCGCACAAG
RNAcentral lists this ribosomal RNA (928 nucleotides) under uncultured bacterium. RNAcentral's name for it is "bacterial SSU rRNA". It matches the Rfam family "Bacterial small subunit ribosomal RNA", at positions 27 to 929 of the family's 1533-position model. The record is from RNAcentral.